UACGUAGGGUGCAAGCGUUAAUCGGAAUUACUGGGCGUAAAGCGUGCGCAGGCGGUUUUGUAAGUCUGUCGUGAAAUCCCCGGGCUCAACCUGGGAAUUGCGCUUGAAACUACGGAGCUGGAGUAUGGCAGAGGGAGGUGGAAUUCCACGUGUAGCGGUGAAAUGCGUAGAGAUGUGGAGGAACACCGAUGGCGAAGGCAGCCUCCUGGGCCAAUACUG
This 219-nucleotide ribosomal RNA is filed under the name uncultured prokaryote. RNAcentral describes it as "partial 16S ribosomal RNA". It matches the Rfam family "Bacterial small subunit ribosomal RNA", at positions 524 to 742 of the family's 1533-position model. The record is from RNAcentral.